This 462-nucleotide ribosomal RNA is filed under the name Triticum aestivum (bread wheat). Its description in RNAcentral is "partial small subunit ribosomal RNA". Lineage: Eukaryota; Viridiplantae; Streptophyta; Magnoliopsida; Poales; Poaceae. The record is from RNAcentral.
AUGGCCAAGUUUUGGCGCCCACUUUCGCGCAGAGCCUCCUCCUUGUUCCUUGGCGUUCAAGCAGGAUCGAGGCUUUGCUUGGAUCCCCUGCAAUGUCAGUGCACACACACCUCACACGCACGCGCUGGGCCGCAGAGGGGCUUCUUCGUAAAUAAGCCACAAGCAGCAGAAUCCAGAAGAUUCCAGAGGAGGGCACCAUUGGGAAUAAUAGGGAAACCAAGGGGGCUAAGUGAACGGAACGGUGCCCUCUUUUGGGGUGGCGCUGCACGUGCCCACCGAGCUUUUUAUUUACUUUCGAGCCCACCUGGGAGGAGGAGUGAAAAGUCGGGAUGGACGGCCCGGAUCGACGGAGCAGCAGCGGCCUGUGGCGCGCACAUGGGGGCUCGGGACUUUGGAUGCGGUGAGCUGGUCUGGGCGGCCGGCCAGCCUGCCCGCAUGCGGCAGCGAGCCAGGUCAGUUUGA